Molecule: long non-coding RNA, 1124 nt
Filed under: Salmo salar (Atlantic salmon)
Lineage: Eukaryota; Metazoa; Chordata; Actinopteri; Salmoniformes; Salmonidae
Description: lncRNA (ENSSSAG00000091435.1)
Source: RNAcentral
AGAGGAACCAGGCUAUGAGGGGUGGCCAGUCCUCUUCUGGCUGUGCAGGGUGGAUAUUAUAACAGAACAUGGUCAAGAUGUUAAAAUGUUAAAAUGUUCAUAAAUGACCAGCAUGGUCAAAUAAUAAUAAUCAUAGUAGUUGUCGAGGGGGCAACAAGCACGUCCGGUGAACAGGUCAGGGUUCCAUAGCCGCAGGCAGAACAGUUGAAACUGGAGCAGCAGCACGGCCAGGUGGACUGGGGACAGCAAGGAGUCAUCAUACCAGGUAGUCCUGAGGCAUGGUCCUAGGGCUCAGGUCCUCCGAGAGAAAGACAGAAAGAGAGAAUUAGAGAGAGCAUAUUUAAAUUCACACAGGACACCGGAUAAGACAAGAGAAAUACUCCAGAUGUAACAGACUGACCCUAGCCCCCCGACACAUAAACUAAUGCAGCAUAAAUACUGGAGGCUGAGACAGGAGGGAUCAGAAGACACUGUGGCCCCAUCCGAUGAUACCCCCGGACAGGGCCAAACAGGCAGGAUAUAACCCCACCCACUUUGCCAAAGCACAGCCCCCACACCACUAGAGGGAUGUCUCCAACCACCAACUUACCGUCCUAAGACAAGGCCGAGUAUAGCCCACAACGAUCUCCGCCAUGGCACAGCCCCCACACCACUAGAGGGAUAUCUACUACUAUCAGCUUUGUGGUUUAGCAAAAAAAAACAUGUCCCGUAUUAUCGGCAUAUGGUUCCCAGUUAUUGAUGACUAUUUUUGGUUGUUGAUUUUGUUCAAAAAAAGAGACAUCAACUGUCACGUCCUGACCAUUGCAAGCUUUUAUUUUCUAUAGUAGAGUAGGUCAGGUCGUGACAGGGGGCUUUGUCUAGUUUAAAUUUUCUAUGUUGUGUGGUUCUAGUUUCUGUUUUUCUAUGUUUUUUUGGGGGAUGAUCUCCAAUUAGAGGCAGCUGGUCAUUCGUUGUCUCUAAUUGGGGAUCAUAUUUAAGUAGUUGUUUUUCCCACCUGGGUUUGUGGGAGAUUAUAUUUUGAGUUAGUGUAUGUUUCACCUCUUUGUCACGGUUAGUUGUUUUGUUUAUUCGUUUAUUUAUAUGUCUUGCAUAGUUUCACAGUUAUAAUAAAAUGUGGAACGAUA